UACGUAGGGCGCAAGCGUUAUCCGGAAUUAUUGGGCGUAAAGAGCUCGUAGGCGGUUUGUCGCGUCUGCCGUGAAAGUCCGGGGCUUAACUCCGGAUCUGCGGUGGGUACGGGCAGACUUGAGUGAUGUAGGGGAGACUGGAAUACCUGGUGUAGCGGUGAAAUGCGCAGAUAUCAGGAGGAACACCGAUGGCGAAGGCAGGUCUCUGGGCAUUAACUGACGCUGAGGAGCGAAAGCAUGGGGAGCGAACAGG
This 253-nucleotide ribosomal RNA is filed under the name uncultured bacterium. Its description in RNAcentral is "partial 16S ribosomal RNA". It matches the Rfam family "Bacterial small subunit ribosomal RNA", at positions 524 to 776 of the family's 1533-position model. The record is from RNAcentral.